GGCCAGCAUUUUUGUAGCCAUAGUAGAGAUGGCGACCGGCGCACGGGUGAGUAACACGUAUCCAACCUGCCGAUAACUCCGGGAUAGCCUUUCGAAAGAAAGAUUAAUACCGGAUAGUAUACGAAUAUCGCAUGAUAUUUUUAUUAAAGAAUUUCGGUUAUCGAUGGGGAUGCGUUCCAUUAGUUUGUUGGCGGGGUAACGGCCCACCAAGACUACGAUGGAUAGGGGUUCUGAGAGGAAGGUCCCCCACAUUGGAACUGAGACACGGUCCAAACUCCUACGGGAGGCAGCAGUGAGGAAUAUUGGUCAAUGGGCGAGAGCCUGAACCAGCCAAGUAGCGUGAAGGAUGAAGGCUCUAUGGGUCGUAAACUUCUUUUAUAUGGGAAUAAAGUUUUCCACGUGUGGAAUUUUGUAUGUACCAUAUGAAUAAGGAUCGGCUAACUCCGUGCCAGCAGCCGCGGUAAUACGGAGGAUCCGAGCGUUAUCCGGAUUUAUUGGGUUUAAAGGGAGCGUAGGUGGAUUGUUAAGUCAGUUGUGAAAGUUUGCGGCUCAACCGUAAAAUUGCAGUUGAAACUGGCAGUCUUGAGUACAGUAGAGGUGGGCGGAAUUCGUGGUUAGCGG
RNAcentral lists this ribosomal RNA (621 nucleotides) under Bacteroides ovatus. RNAcentral describes it as "bacterial SSU rRNA". It matches the Rfam family "Bacterial small subunit ribosomal RNA", at positions 66 to 681 of the family's 1533-position model. Lineage: Bacteria; Pseudomonadati; Bacteroidota; Bacteroidia; Bacteroidales; Bacteroidaceae. The record is from RNAcentral.